RNAcentral lists this ribosomal RNA (456 nucleotides) under uncultured bacterium. Its description in RNAcentral is "bacterial SSU rRNA". It matches the Rfam family "Bacterial small subunit ribosomal RNA", at positions 535 to 987 of the family's 1533-position model. The record is from RNAcentral.
CGAGCGUUGUCCGGAAUUAUUGGGCGUAAAGAGCUUGUAGGCGGUUUGUCGCGUCUGCUGUGAAAGGCCGGGGCUUAACCCCGUGUAUUGCAGUGGGUACGGGCAGACUAGAGUGCAGUAGGGGAGACUGGAAUUCCUGGUGUAGCGGUGGAAUGCGCAGAUAUCAGGAGGAACACCGAUGGCGAAGGCAGGUCUCUGGGCUGUAACUGACGCUGAGAAGCGAAAGCAUGGGGAGCGAACAGGAUUAGAUACCCUGGUAGUCCAUGCCGUAAACGUUGGGCACUAGGUGUGGGGGACAUUCCACGUUUUCCGCGCCGUAGCUAACGCAUUAAGUGCCCCGCCUGGGGAGUACGGCCGCAAGGCUAAAACUCAAAGAAAUUGACGGGGGCCCGCACAAGCGGCGGAGCAUGCGGAUUAAUUCGAUGCAACGCGAAGAACCUUACCAAGGCUUGACAU